GCUUACGGCCAUACCAGCCUGAAUCCCCCCGAUCUCGUCAGAUCUCGGAAGCUAAGCCGUGUCGGGCCUGGUUAGUAAUCGGAUGGGAGACUGCCUGGGAAUACCAGGUGCUGUAAGCA
Molecule: ribosomal RNA, 119 nt
Organism: Hucho hucho (huchen)
Lineage: Eukaryota; Metazoa; Chordata; Actinopteri; Salmoniformes; Salmonidae
Source: Ensembl